This 28-nucleotide small RNA is filed under the name Bombyx mori (domestic silkworm). RNAcentral's name for it is "ovarian small RNA-3434". Lineage: Eukaryota; Metazoa; Arthropoda; Insecta; Lepidoptera; Bombycidae. The record is from RNAcentral.
UCGCGAAGUAGUGCUUAAGGGCUUCGUC